GAUGAACGCUGGCGGCGUGCCUAAUACAUGCAAGUCGAGCGAACGGACGAGAAGCUUGCUUCUCUGAUGUUAGCGGCGGACGGGUGAGUAACACGUGGAUAACCUACCUAUAAGACUGGGAUAACUUCGGGAAACCGGAGCUAAUACCGGAUAAUAUUUUGAACCGCAUGGUUCAAAAGUGAAAGACGGUCUUGCUGUCACUUAUAGAUGGAUCCGCGCUGCAUUAGCUAGUUGGUAAGGUAACGGCUUACCAAGGCAACGAUGCAUAGCCGACCUGAGAGGGUGAUCGGCCACACUGGAACUGAGACACGGUCCAGACUCCUACGGGAGGCAGCAGUAGGGAAUAUUGGACAAUGGGGGCAACCCUGAUCCAGCAAUUCUGUGUGCACGAUGAAGGUCUUCGGAUUGUAAAGUGCUUUCAGCAGGGAAGAAAAAAAUGACGGUACCUGCAGAAGAAGCGACGGCUAAAUACGUGCCGGCAGCCGCGGUAAUACGUAUGUCGCGAGCGUUAUCCGGAGUUAUUGGGCAUAAAGGGCAUCUAGGCGGCCGGAUAAGUCUGGGGUGAAAACUUGCGGCUCAACCGCAAGCCUGCCCUGGAAACUAUGCGGCUAGAGUACUGGAGAGGUGGACGGAACUGCACGAGUAGAGGUGAAAUUCGUAGAUAUGUGCAGGAAUGCCGAUGAUGAAGAUAGUUCACUGGACGGUAACUGACGCUGAAGUGCGAAAGCUAGGGGAGCAAACAGGAUUAGAUACCCUGGUAGUCCUAGCUGUAAACGAUGAUUACUGGGUGUGGGCAUGAAGAGUGUCCGUGCCGAAGCUAAUGCGAUAAGUAAUCCGCCUGGGGAGUACGGCCGCAAGGCUGAAACUCAAAGGAAUUGACGGGGACCCGCACAAGCGGUGGAGCAUGUGGUUUAAUUCGACGCAACGCGAGGAACCUUACCAGAUCUUGACAUCCUGCGAAGGCCUGCGAGAGCAGGCUGUGCCUCCGGGAACGCAGAGACAGGUGGUGCAUGGCUGUCGACAGCUCGUGUCGUGAGAUGUUGGGUUAAGUCCCGCAACGAGCGCAACCCCUAUUGCCAGUUACCAUCAUUAGGUUGGGGACUCUGGCGAGACUGCCUGCGAAGAGCAGGAGGAAGGCGGGGAUGACGUCAAGUCAUCAUGCCCCUUAUGAUCUGGGCUACACACGUGCUACAAUGGCCGGCACAGAGAGCUGCGAGGCGGCAACGCCAAGCCAACCUUCAAAGCCGGUCCAAGUUCGGAUUGAAGCCUGCAACUCGGCUUCAUGAAGCUGGAAUCGCUAGUAAUCGCAGAUCAGCAAUGCUGCGGUGAAUACGUUCUCGGGUCU
This 1345-nucleotide ribosomal RNA is filed under the name uncultured bacterium. RNAcentral's name for it is "bacterial SSU rRNA". It matches the Rfam family "Bacterial small subunit ribosomal RNA", at positions 28 to 1381 of the family's 1533-position model. The record is from RNAcentral.